RNAcentral lists this ribosomal RNA (437 nucleotides) under uncultured bacterium. Its description in RNAcentral is "partial 16S ribosomal RNA". It matches the Rfam family "Bacterial small subunit ribosomal RNA", at positions 341 to 792 of the family's 1533-position model. The record is from RNAcentral.
ACGGGAGGCAGCAGUAGGGGAUAUUGCACAAUGGAGGAAACUCUGAUGCAGCAACGCCGCGUGAGGGAAGAAGGUUUUCGGAUUGUAAACCUCUGUUUUUAGUGAAGAAAAAAAUGACGGUAGCUAAAGAGGAAGCCACGGCUAACUACGUGCCAGCAGCCGCGGUAAUACGUAGGUGGCAAGCGUUGUCCGGAUUUACUGGGUGUAAAGGGUGCGCAGGCGGGACUGCAAGUUGGAUGUGAAAUACCGAGGCUUAACCUCGGGGCUGCAUCCAAAACUGUAGUUCUUGAGUGGAGUAGAGGUAGGCGGAAUUCCGAGUGUAGCGGUGGAAUGCGUAGAUAUUCGGAGGAACACCGGUGGCGAAGGCGGCCUACUGGGCUUUAACUGACGCUGAGGCUCGAAAGUGUGGGGAGCAAACAGGAUUAGAUACCCUGGUA